This 429-nucleotide ribosomal RNA is filed under the name Bacteroidota bacterium. Its description in RNAcentral is "Bacteroidetes bacterium partial 16S ribosomal RNA". It matches the Rfam family "Bacterial small subunit ribosomal RNA", at positions 355 to 776 of the family's 1533-position model. The record is from RNAcentral. Lineage: Bacteria; Pseudomonadati; Bacteroidota.
UAGGGAAUCUUCCGCAAUGGACGCAAGUCUGACGGAGCAACGCCGCGUGAGUGAAGAAGGAUUUCGGUUCGUAAAACUCUGUUGUUAGAGAAGAACAGCGCAUAGAGUAACUGUUAUGCGUGUGACGGUAUCUAACCAGAAAGCCACGGCUAACUACGUGCCAGCAGCCGCGGUAAUACGUAGGUGGCAAGCGUUGUCCGGAUUUAUUGGGCGUAAAGCGAGCGCAGGCGGUCAAUUAAGUCUGAUGUGAAAGCCCCCGGCUCAACCGGGGAGGGUCAUUGGAAACUGGUUGACUUGAGUGCAGAAGAGGAGAGUGGAAUUCCAUGUGUAGCGGUGAAAUGCGUAGAUAUAUGGAGGAACAUCAGUGGCGAAGGCGACUAUCUGGUCUGUAACUGACGCUGAGGCUCGAAAGCGUGGGUAGCAAACAGG